Rattus norvegicus (Norway rat) is the source of this 84-nucleotide small nuclear RNA. Ensembl annotates it as U4 spliceosomal RNA. The record is from Ensembl. NCBI's taxonomy places the organism in Eukaryota, Metazoa, Chordata, Mammalia, Rodentia, Muridae.
AGCUUUGUGCAGUGGCAGUAUCAUAGCCAAUGAGGUUUAUCCGAGGCGUGAUUAUUGCUAAUUGAAGAAAAAAAAAGAAAAAGU